GACAAAGUAAUGCUCUGCAGGAACUGGCUGGUUUGAGGAUGAAAGCUGAGAGGCUGGUUGGUGCAAGGAUAGCAGCAAAAUUGAGAUUGAGGCUGGCUGCCGAGGCUUAAGUCAGAGGUGCAGGGGAGGGGAUGGGGAGGUGAAGGAGCAGAGUGGCUGGUGGUACUGAUGAAGAAGGCACAAUUUAAGGCUUCAGAUUGAGUGGUGAGAGGCUGGGUGGAGAAGCACUGCAGCCCCUGGCCAGCUGUAAUACCGUGUGGGCAGCAAUCAUCUGACUGUGUGGACCAGCAGAGCCAGGGUACUGCAGCAGAUGAUUGUCUGACGAGAUGCAGGUGUGCAUGCAGGGGGCUCCAGCACCUGGAAGCUCAAUCAGUCUGUGAAAGAAAAAACCCAGGGGAAGCCAGAGCAAAGUGUUUUCAGUUCAAGGCAUGAAAGCUUUCAUUUGGUGGAAAUUGUCACAUGACAGUCUGAAGAAUCUAUUUCACCUCAAGGUAAUCCGGAGGGGGAGAGCGUUCACACACAGAAGUCAAACCUGCCAGAGGAAUUGUCUUUCAGGCAUGAAGCACUUUUAAAGUGGAUUAAUGUUUCUAUUUAACAUCUGUUUUUUGACUUUGCUUUUGAUUACUUUUGUUUGAAUUCUGAAAAAAAAAUAUAGCACCUCAGUUGAGGUUAACACGCCAUAAAAUGUGAAACCUUGUCUCUUUCAAGUUUAGAUUUUCUCUCACAGAUCCAUCAUAUAAGAAGAACAACUGUGGUGAAAAAGCUAUUGUGAACAACAAACAUUAUGCUGUGCCUUUCUAUAGAAAAAUAAAAUAAAUACUUCAUGACACCGAC
Notolabrus celidotus (New Zealand spotty) is the source of this 834-nucleotide long non-coding RNA. RefSeq lists it as uncharacterized. The record is from RefSeq and is a predicted model, not a curated record. Lineage: Eukaryota; Metazoa; Chordata; Actinopteri; Labriformes; Labridae. The transcript has 4 exons.